CGGCCUCCUAAGCACAUUAUUUAAGGAUAAAAAGGCAGACAUGAAAAGACUGACCUGAAACAUAAACGCUGGGAAGAUAAACACAAGGGCAUGGGAGCCUUGUGGACGCACAAUCGGGUGGGAAGGGGCGGGGACUGUUUUUAUAACAGAAGCAUAAACCACUUGCGUCCUCAAGUCACACACAUGGGUCUUUGGUUGACAGAGAGAAUGGGGUGGGAGGAGACCGCACACGAGUCCCACCCGAGAGGGGCUGGGCCUUGUAGGGGACACAGGGAAGGAUCCCUGGGCUCCACUUGGGGUGUGGGCAGGGUGAGGGAGCCCCUUCCUCCAUGGGGAAGGGAGGAAAUUCCACCGCAGGGACGCAGGAGCCAGAGCCAGAGAGCAGCAACCCCACCCCUGAAGGAAGAUGAGUGAGGAGGUGCGCGAGGGGAAGAGGAGACUGAACAGAGAAAGAAAUUUGAGAGGAGAGCUCUGGAGAGACAGGCAGGUGCCGAUGGAGGAGCUGGCCCGUUGGGCGGUGGGUGGGUGGGUGGGUGUAACACGGUUCUCCCCACAUCUGUCCAGAAAACCUUCCAAAAAGUCCUAUCUCUUUGCAGAGUAGAUAAUAAGAGCAGCUCCCAGGCACCCCUAUGUAUUUACCAAGCUUUACAGAGCACCAGCCAUGACUGGUCCAGUCCAUCCUCACAGCUGCUCCGUGGCACAGGUACAUUAUUCCUUGCUUUCAUAAAUGGGGAAACUGAGGCACAGGAAGGUGCCCAAGGUCAAGCACUGGAAGGCGGCUUGACUAGGGGCUCACUCCCACCUCCCCACCUGCCCUGUGUCUCUGGGGUGUAGGGAGUGAGUCCUGCAGCCAGGUGUGGGGGCAGGGGGUGGGGUCCACCCCAGUGAGGCUGGCCGGGCCCCGGUCACAGGGUUGAUGGGGUUUAUCAGCUCAUAGACAGUACCCAACUGCAUCGUGGGCUGAAUCAGGCCCUGGGCUCUGAGUCAAAGCAAACCCUUCCAGUGAUUGCCAAUGAGAUGGCAACGGAGCCCAUAUGAUCCUGAGGGCCUGGCAUGCCCUCUAUCGCCCAGGGAAGCCAGCCACAGCCUGCAGGGCCACCUCCGGACGAGACACCGCUGGAGAUGUGUGGCAUUCUCAGGGCCUCUUUGUAGAGAAAAACAGGAAACUAUGAUUAUAAAAUUAGGCAUAAAAGUGAAUAUUAAGAGUAAAUAGGGCCGGGCAUGGUGGCUCACACCUGUAAUCCCAGCACUUUGGGAGGCCAAGGCGGGCAGAUCACCUGAGGUCGGGAGUAUGAGACCAGCCUGGACAACAUGGUAAAACCCUCUCUCUACUAAAAAUACAAAAAUUAGCUGGGCAUGGUGGUGCGUGCCUGUAAUCCCAGCUACUCAGGAGGCAGGAGAAUCGCUUGAACCCAGGGGGCAGAGGUUGCAGUGAGCCAAGAUCGUACCACUGCACUCUAGCCUGGGCGACAGAGUGAGACUCCAUCUCAAAAAAAAAAGUAAAUAGGUCACACACAGUGGCUCACAACUGUAAUCCCAGCACUUCGGGAAUCUGAGGUGGGAGGAUCACUUGAGCCCAGGAGUCCAAGACCAGCCUGGGCAACAGAGCGAGACCCCAUCUCUAUUUUUAAAAAGUAAAUAAAUCGGGCGGGCGCGGUGGCUCA
Molecule: long non-coding RNA, 1664 nt
Filed under: Piliocolobus tephrosceles (Ugandan red Colobus)
Lineage: Eukaryota; Metazoa; Chordata; Mammalia; Primates; Cercopithecidae
Description: lncRNA (ENSPTEG00000021255.1)
Source: RNAcentral